UACAGAGGUCUCAAGCGUUGUUCGGAUUCAUUGGGCGUAAAGGGUGCGUAGGUGGCCUCAUAAGUCCGCUGUGAAAGUCAAAGGCUCAACCUUUGAAAGCCGGUGGAUACUGUGAGGCUAGAGUACGGAAGAGGCGAGUGGAAUUCCUGGUGUAGCGGUGGAAUGCGCAGAUAUCAGGAGGAACACCAAUAGCGAAGGCAGCUCGCUGGGACGUUACUGACACUGAGGCGCGAAAGCGUGGGGAGCGAACAGG
This 253-nucleotide ribosomal RNA is filed under the name uncultured bacterium. RNAcentral describes it as "partial 16S ribosomal RNA". It matches the Rfam family "Bacterial small subunit ribosomal RNA", at positions 524 to 776 of the family's 1533-position model. The record is from RNAcentral.